CUACGGGAGGCUGCAGUAGGGAAUCUUCGGCAAUGGACGGAAGUCUGACCGAGCAACGCUGCGUGAGUGAAGAAGGUUUUCGGAUCGUAAAGCUCUGUUGUAAGAGAAGAACGAGUGUGAGAGUGGAAAGUUCACACUGUGACGGUAUCUUACCAGAAAGGGACGGCUAACUACGUGCCAGCAGCCGCGGUAAUACGUAGGUCCCGAGCGUUGUCCGGAUUUAUUGGGCGUAAAGCGAGCGCAGGCGGUUAGAUAAGUCUGAAGUUAAAGGCUGUGGCUUAACCAUAGUACGCUUUGGAAACUGUUUAACUUGAGUGCAGAAGGGGAGAGUGGAAUUCCAUGUGUAGCGGUGAAAUGCGUAGAUAUAUGGAGGAACACCGGUGGCGAAAGCGGCUCUCUGGUCUGUAACUGACGCUGAGGCUCGAAAGCGUGGGGAGCAAACAGGAUUAGAUACCCUAGUAGUC
RNAcentral lists this ribosomal RNA (464 nucleotides) under uncultured bacterium. RNAcentral's name for it is "partial 16S ribosomal RNA". It matches the Rfam family "Bacterial small subunit ribosomal RNA", at positions 339 to 795 of the family's 1533-position model. The record is from RNAcentral.